AGCAGCAUGGCGCAGUGGUAGCGCGCGGGGCCCAUACAGAUAGAGUUUGGUACCCCGAGGUCACUUGAUCGAAACAAGUUGCUGCUA
Marasmius fiardii PR-910 is the source of this 87-nucleotide non-coding RNA. NCBI's taxonomy places the organism in Eukaryota, Fungi, Basidiomycota, Agaricomycetes, Agaricales, Marasmiaceae. The record is from the annotation of a GenBank genome assembly.